Molecule: non-coding RNA, 26 nt
Filed under: Mus musculus (house mouse)
Lineage: Eukaryota; Metazoa; Chordata; Mammalia; Rodentia; Muridae
Source: RNAcentral
UAAAACCAGGACUUUUUGGCUAGGGA